AGAGUUUGAUCAUGGCUCAGAUUGAACGCUGGCGGCAGGCCUAACACAUGCAAGUCGAACGGUAACAGAAAGAAGCUUGCUUCUUUGCUGACGAGUGGCGGACGGGUGAGUAAUGUCUGGGAAACUGCCUGAUGGAGGGGGAUAACUACUGGAAACGGUAGCUAAUACCGCAUAACGUCGCAAGACCAAAGAGGGGGACCUUCGGGCCUCUUGCCAUCGGAUGUGCCCAGAUGGGAUUAGCUUGUUGGUGGGGUAACGGCUCACCAAGGCGACGAUCCCUAGCUGGUCUGAGAGGAUGACCAGCCACACUGGAACUGAGACACGGUCCAGACUCCUACGGGAGGCAGCAGUGGGGAAUAUUGCACAAUGGGCGCAAGCCUGAUGCAGCCAUGCCGCGUGUAUGAAGAAGGCCUUCGGGUUGUAAAGUACUUUCAGCGGGGAGGAAGGGAGUAAAGUUAAUACCUUUGCUCAUUGACGUUACCCGCAGAAGAAGCACCGGCUAACUCCGUGCCAGCAGCCGCGGUAAUACGGAGGGUGCAAGCGUUAAUCGGAAUUACUGGGCGUAAAGCGCACGCAGGCGGUUUGUUAAGUCAGAUGUGAAAUCCCCGGGCUUCAACCUGGGAACUGCAUCUGAUACUGGCAAGCUUGAGUCUCGUAGAGGGGGGUAGAAUUCCAGGUGUAGCGGUGAAAUGCGUAGAGAUCUGGAGGAAUACCGGUGGCGAAGGCGGCCCCCUGGACGAAGACUGACGCUCAGGUGCGAAAGCGUGGGGAGCAAACAGGAUUAGAUACCCUGGUAGUCCACGCCGUAAACGAUGUCGACUUGGAGGUUGUGCCCUUGAGGCGUGGCUUCCGGAGCUAACGCGUUAAGUCGACCGCCUGGGGAGUACGGCCGCAAGGUUAAAACUCAAAUGAAUUGACGGGGGCCCGCACAAGCGGUGGAGCAUGUGGUUUAAUUCGAUGCAACGCGAAGAACCUUACCUGGUCUUGACAUCCACGGAAGUUUUCAGAGAUGAGAAUGUGCCUUCGGGAACCGUGAGACAGGUGCUGCAUGGCUGUCGUCAGCUCGUGUUGUGAAAUGUUGGGUUAAGUCCCGCAACGAGCGCAACCCUUAUCCUUUGUUGCCAGCGGUCCGGCCGGGAACUCAAAGGAGACUGCCAGUGAUAAACUGGAGGAAGGUGGGGAUGACGUCAAGUCAUCAUGGCCCUUACGACCAGGGCUACACACGUGCUACAAUGGCGCAUACAAAGAGAAGCGACCUCGCGAGAGCAAGCGGACCUCAUAAAGUGCGUCGUAGUCCGGAUUGGAGUCUGCAACUCGACUCCAUGAAGUCGGAAUCGCUAGUAAUCGUGGAUCAGAAUGCCACGGUGAAUACGUUCCCGGGCCUUGUACACACCGCCCGUCACACCAUGGGAGUGGGUUGCAAAAGAAGUAGGUAGCUUAACCUUCGGGAGGGCGCUUACCACUUUGUGAUUCAUGACUGGGGUGAAGUCGUAACAAGGUAACCGUAGGGGAACCUGCGGUUG
Molecule: ribosomal RNA, 1523 nt
Filed under: Escherichia coli
Lineage: Bacteria; Pseudomonadati; Pseudomonadota; Gammaproteobacteria; Enterobacterales; Enterobacteriaceae
Also listed under: 1 other name
Description: bacterial SSU rRNA
Rfam family: Bacterial small subunit ribosomal RNA
Source: RNAcentral